AUAGCUGGUUUGAGAGAGUGAUCAGCCACACUGGGACUGAGAUACGGCCCAGACUCCUACGGGAGGCAGCAGUGAGGAAUAUUGCGCAAUGGGCGAAAGCCUGACGCAGCAACGCCGCGUGGGGGAUGAAGUUCUAUGGAGCGUAAACCCCUGUAAGUGGGGACGAAGGAUAGAUAUUCGAAUAGGGUGUUUAUUUGACGGUACCCGCAGAGUAAGCUCCGGCUAACUCCGUGCCAGCAGCCGCGGUAAUACGGGGGGAGCAAGCGUUGUCCGGAAUUACUGGGCGUAAAGGGCGUGUAGGCGGUUUGGUAAGUCAGAUGUAAAAGGUCCCGGCUUAACCGGGGAUAGUCAUUUGAAACUGCCAGGCUUGAGUUCGAGAGAGGGUAGCGGAAUUCCCAGUGUAGCAGUGAAAUGCGUAGAUAUUGGGAAGAACACCAGUAGCGAAGGCGGCUACCUGGCUCGCAACUGACGCUAAGGCGCGAAAGCGUGGGGAGCAAACAGGAUUAGAUACCCUGGUAGUCCACGCCGUAAACGAUGAGCACUAGGUGUUGGUUGGCCGCAGGCUAAUCAGUGCCGCAGUUAACGCAUUAAGUGCUCCGCCUGGGGAGUACGAUCGCAAGGUUGAAACUCAAAGGAAUUGACGGGGGCCCGCACAAGCGGUGGAGCAUGUGGUUUAAUUCGAUUCAACGCGAAGAACCUUACCGGGGUUUGACAUCAUAGUGAAGUUUGCAGAGAUGUAAACGUUCUUCGGAACGCUAUGACAGGUGCUGCAUGGCUAUCGUCAGCUCGUGUCGUGAGAUGUUGGGUUAAGUCCCGCAACGAGCGCAACCCUUGCCCCUAGUUGCCAGCAAGUAAUGUUGGGGACUCUAGGGGGACAGUCGGCGAUAAGCCGGAGGAAGGUGGGGAUGACGUCAAGUCCUCAUGGCCCUUACAUCCCGGGCUACACACGUGCUACAAUGGCCGGUACAGCGAGUCGCGAUACCGCGAGGUGGAGCUAAUCUCUAAAAACCGGUCUCAGUUCGGAUUGCAGUCUGCAACUCGACUGCAUGAAGUCGGAAUCGCUAGUAAUCGUGGAUCAGCACGCCACGGUGAAUACGUUCCCGGGCCUUGUACACACCGCCCGUCACGCCAUGGGAGUUGGCAGUACCCGAAGCCGGUGUCCUAACCCCUUUGGGAGGGAACUGUCGAAGGUAAGGCCGAUGACUGGGGCGAAGUCGUAACAAGGUA
RNAcentral lists this ribosomal RNA (1227 nucleotides) under metagenome. RNAcentral describes it as "bacterial SSU rRNA". It matches the Rfam family "Bacterial small subunit ribosomal RNA", at positions 283 to 1498 of the family's 1533-position model. The record is from RNAcentral.